UGGCAGUGAUUCCCGCGGUACAG
Molecule: small nuclear RNA, 23 nt
Filed under: Arabidopsis thaliana (thale cress)
Lineage: Eukaryota; Viridiplantae; Streptophyta; Magnoliopsida; Brassicales; Brassicaceae
Description: snRNA_16110
Source: RNAcentral